RNAcentral lists this ribosomal RNA (253 nucleotides) under uncultured bacterium. RNAcentral's name for it is "partial 16S ribosomal RNA". It matches the Rfam family "Bacterial small subunit ribosomal RNA", at positions 524 to 776 of the family's 1533-position model. The record is from RNAcentral.
UACAGAGGGUGCGAGCGUUAAUCGGAAUUACUGGGCGUAAAGCGCGCGUAGGCGGCUCUGCAAGUCGGGUGUGAAAUCCCCAGGCUUAACCUGGGAACUGCAUUCGAGACUGCAUUGCUAGAGUAUGGGAGAGGGAAGUGGAAUUUCCGGUGUAGCGGUGAAGUGCGUAGAUAUUGGAAGGAACAUCAGUGGCGAAAGCGACUUCCUGGACCAAUACUGACGCUCAUGUGCGAAAGCGUGGGGAGCAAACAGG